Long non-coding RNA from Mytilus californianus (California mussel), 688 nucleotides. RefSeq lists it as uncharacterized. The transcript has 2 exons. The record is from RefSeq and is a predicted model, not a curated record. NCBI's taxonomy places the organism in Eukaryota, Metazoa, Mollusca, Bivalvia, Mytilida, Mytilidae.
GAUAACAAUGCAAAGUUUAAUUUUGCUUUGAAUAAUUUAGUUUUAUACAUUUAGUAAUUGUAUGUACAUUUGCUUUAUAUUUUCAGGAUGGAGAAAGAUGUUCACUGUGGAUCAAAAAUUCAAAACAGAGGACUUUUAUAUACAAACAAAAAUACUUGUACAACAGUAAUCAAAUGGAAUGUCUAUGUGAUUGCAACCACACAUUUUAAUGGAGUGAUGUUGAAAGCAAAGUUAUUUUUGUUAAUAGAAAACAAUAGGACUACAAUAUACUACUAAUUAGGGUACACAACACAUCAGAAGAAUAAUUUUACAGGAGGAUACAAAUUUUAAUACCUGGAAUCAGCAAUUUAUAUGAAAUUUGUAAAGAGAGAUAUAUUCACGUAAAGAGUGGAAAACCCCACCAGAUAACCCAGUUGAACUUGGUUCAAGUGAUUAUUUGCAGACAUUUUUGUUGAACUAAAUAAUGCAAAAUUUUAUAAAUGAAACUUUAGCAGACUAUGAGCUCCAAAGUGUUGUAAUUAGAGGAAUUUUAAAUAUGUGAGACUCAUCAACAUUAAACUGUGCAUAAGUGAAAUGUAACAAUAUUUUGUAAAAGAAUCAGAUUAUUAACUCAGUUGUUUUCAUGAAAUUUUUUAUCAAAGCAAUAUCACUUUUAUAUAAUCAACAUGAUUAAAAAGAUUCCAUAUGU